Long non-coding RNA from Larimichthys crocea (large yellow croaker), 1374 nucleotides. RefSeq lists it as uncharacterized. Lineage: Eukaryota; Metazoa; Chordata; Actinopteri; Sciaenidae. The transcript has 4 exons. The record is from RefSeq and is a predicted model, not a curated record.
CUGGGGGCCAGGCGGUGAGUGAAACCGGAUCCCGGGUCAGUGCCGGCCGGCUGUGGUUGUUGACACAGCACCGGUGUGUUGCGGGCUCAUGUCACGAUGCCACAGCUGAAAAUAUCAAACCCACAUUGAUACACAGCCUGGAAGUCUCAACUUUACUCCUGCACAUGCAUGCAUUAUGUAACACGUGUUUAUUUGCUCCUCUGUCUGUUAUGUCCAGCUCCAACACAACCUGUUUGCACUGUAACCUUUCUGUAAAUAGUCCUCUGUGUGUGUGUGUGUGUGUGUCCAUGACAUGGCGAAAACAAAAGGAGGGAAUACAAACACAGACGUUUACUGACAUCCUGUGUCUGAGAGGUGUCACUACAAGCUGUGCAUUUCUUCUGUUUUUGUUUUUGUUUUUUUAGUUAAAAAUAAUUGAAACUAAUGACAAAAAUGGGCCAGGACAAAAUUAGAUUUGGAAACCAUUUCUUUUUUAUUUUGUAAAUGGGUUAAGCACUCAGACUGUACACAACAGAUAUUUUCUGAGUUUGACCCAAUAAAACCAAAAAAAAAAAAAAAAAAAAGAGCAUCCAGAGGAGGGAGCAAGGUGGUCUGCCAACCAGGCUGAGUAAAGCUGGUCUUCUUCUUCCUCUUCCUCCUCUCACAUACUUCACUUCUCUCUGGGCGUUACAUCUAUUAUCUAUUUUAUUAUAAAAGUUUGAUCUCCUGUUUCAGGUGGGACCACCCUGCUUCCUGCCAGUGGUAUCCUCCACUUGUCAAGCAGUCGCUCUUGGACGCGAACACCUCCGGUCGAUUCGGGCUCCUCAAACUGGAUGAGUGCUGUGGUGGAGAAGGGUCUCACCUCGCUGAUGGAAGGAGCUGAUGGCACCUCUGGUUAAGGGAGGAAAUGCGAUCGUGUCUUCAGUGGACAGAGCGGCCUUAACCCUCUCCGUUCCAUUCGUCUCAUCUGCUGGGGGGAUAUGCAGCCUGUUGUAUCAGCUGGUGUGAAAUCCUCGGAGCCGUAAAACAACCAGAGGGAAGGAAUGUAAAUGAGCUGAUGUCGGUUACAUCGCCUUUUUCAUCUACAUGUAUCAUCUAUCUGCACAAACACUGCUCUGUGUAAUCUCUCAUUGUGUUAGAUGUUUUGGUCUAAUGUGUUUUGAAUAUGAGUGAAAAAUCUGUUCCUGAAGCCCGAAGCCGAGUGCGUUCCCCUCAAUCCAAUUUGUGCGCAACAAUGAAAUUUACGUUAACUACUGAUUAUGUUAUUUGUUCUCACUAAACUGAAACGAUCUAAGCGGUUAUAGAAAGCAUACCCGCCUACACGAGACGUCUCAUCAUUAUCGUUCAUCACGUUGAAAAAUCAGACAUAAAUGUGAGACAACAUAGCGCUAUGAA